RNAcentral lists this long non-coding RNA (1950 nucleotides) under Canis lupus familiaris (dog). RNAcentral describes it as "lncRNA (ENSCAFG00000050726.1)". Lineage: Eukaryota; Metazoa; Chordata; Mammalia; Carnivora; Canidae. The record is from RNAcentral.
UUUUUUUUUUUUUUUUUUUCCUCCAGAUGGUUGUCUUGUCAGUAUCCAGCAUGAUCCCACACCAACUCUUUCAGCUAAUUUAAAGUCCAUAUUUGGUCCGAGGAAAUAUUCGUUCUCCUAGAAAAUUCUGGAAAUGAAAUUCUGCUAAAAAUGUGGCUCAUGUUCUGCUAUGACAAAGAAUCUCUGCCAGUCCUUCUAUCCAUUUAAAUUUCUAAAGAAUGACUCAGACACCAGUUUACUGAUCACCCUACAAAUAAAGGAUGUUGACCAAGCUUUUACUGAACACCUUUGAAGCCUUUACAUGAGGCUUGCAUUCGAGGGGAAGCAAACUCUGUGUUCUUUGGGAGUGGUGAGACUAUAGAGAAAUUCUUUUCAAGUAAACCCUCUUUGAAUGUCAUUUAUUCUAACUUUCUAGCCAUUUUUCUCCAGAAAUGUGUGGUUAACUAAGACUAUAUGACUGGUGUUCUUACAACUUCAUUAUAUGCCCUGCAUCUGGGUCUCAGAUCUUAAUUUUGAAAACUUAGCAAAUGGUUCCAGCAAUUUAGCUGAAGCAUAGACUAAGAGAAUUCCAUUUUAAAAUCUAGACCAAGAUAACUUUAGGAGACAAAACACAUGGGGAUGGUCCUUAGUCACAUUUCUCCCCCAAGUUCCUCUUCAAUAACUUAACAGUUGACCAAGUAGAAGAAUAGUGGAUUAUCAGCUAUUAAGAUCACUCGUCCACCAGGGACCUUCCGUUGCUUCAUAGACACAAAGACGUUUCCUGCUCCUCAUUCUCAUAAAUCUGAAGGGCAUUUCAAAGAUCAAACUCUUCUCUAGUAGGACAUUUGCCAUGGUGCAUACAGUCUAACUUUAUCUGGUCUAAGAAUGCCUCCGGUUACGGGGAGCCUAAAGGGUCCAGUGUGCUUUGCUACUUCACCAAUUAUUUUUUUCUUAACAAACUCUGUUUUGUAUUUCUACUAGCUGGAUCUGUGUGCACCACUUGCACAGGAGUUGGCAACACUGAAGGGACAAAUACCACUCUGUCCCUGUGCUAUGUGUUUUUGGAAGUGACAAUGUUUUACUGGCUUAGCUUGCAGAUGAGAAAUAUUCCUUUUUAGGGACAGUGGCUGUAGAGAGAAGUACUGAGAGAGGCACUUUUUCUGCCAUGGGCAGGGAUCCACAGUGUUAUUUCAUAGCUCAGGAUGAAGCUGGGUGGCCAGUGUUCAGAAGCCCUAGAGAUGGCAGGGUAACCAUGGAAUCUAGAAGCCCAGUAGCCUGUGGGGGCUCUUGGCCUAUAUCCAAGGACUGGAAGAAAUGGUAUUAAGCCGCCAUAGGCCCCAAAGAAGCAAGCUUUUCUAAAGGGAAGUAGAUACAUUACAAAAGGAAAUCACGGAUAAUCGGGAUUACAGUUAGCCAAUGAAAGGGAGGCUAGAUUUUGUGGAGUCUGGGGCAAACCCACAUAAAUGAUAACGUGUUGUAGCUAAAUACUGGAGGACGACACAAUUAUAAGGAUGAGUCAUCAUGGUUAUUGCUGCAGCCCUUUCUCGUAGCAUGAAUGGGACAUUCCAGCUCACGAAAAAACAAAACGAAACCUGGAAUUAUUAUUAUUAUUUUUUUGCUAUUUCCAGGGAGCAAAAACUCAAACCAAUUGACAGAAUAUAAAUUCCCACGUAAGAGAAUUAUGUUGACAGAAUAAACUGGAACAAGUCUAAGAUGUACUGCAACAAUCUGAACCACCCCCUCCCCAGGCCCCAGAGGAAGCUCUUCAAAUUCCCAAACUUAAUGGAGUAAGAGUUAACAUGACUUUUGUUUUUGGAUUGACUUGCUAUUUUUUAUGUCAACUUACAUAACUAAUAGGGAUAUCUAGGGUGUGCAAAUGUACAUUCUUUUGAUUGGAUAAAUUAAUUUACAGCCCUGUUGUUGGAUUCUGUAACAAUUGGUUACAUGUAUGGCCAAGAAAGUCUUGAAUGA